UGGCCCUUAACUCAAUUGGUUAGAGCAACCGGCUCAUAACCGGGCGGUUCCGGGUUCGAGUCCCGGAGGGCCAA
This 74-nucleotide transfer RNA is filed under the name Candidatus Fimimorpha excrementavium. RNAcentral describes it as "tRNA-Ile". It matches the Rfam family "tRNA". From Rfam's summary of the family: Transfer RNA (tRNA) molecules are approximately 80 nucleotides in length. Their secondary structure includes four short double-helical elements and three loops (D, anti-codon, and T loops). Further hydrogen bonds mediate the characteristic L-shaped molecular structure. tRNAs have two regions of fundamental functional importance: the anti-codon, which is responsible for specific mRNA codon recognition, and the 3' end, to which the tRNAs corresponding amino acid is attached (by aminoacyl-tRNA synthetases). tRNAs cope with the degeneracy of the genetic code in two manners: having more than one tRNA (with a specific anti-codon) for a particular amino acid; and 'wobble' base-pairing, i.e. permitting non-standard base-pairing at the 3rd anti-codon position. Lineage: Bacteria; Bacillati; Bacillota; Clostridia; Eubacteriales. The record is from RNAcentral.